This 487-nucleotide ribosomal RNA is filed under the name uncultured Ascomycota. Its description in RNAcentral is "eukaryotic LSU rRNA". The stretch from base 154 to 307 matches the Rfam family "5.8S ribosomal RNA". Lineage: Eukaryota; Fungi; Ascomycota. The record is from RNAcentral.
CAUUACCGAGUGAGGGUCUCCGGGCCCGACCUCCAACCCUUUUGUGAACCACCUCGUUGCUUCGGGGGCGACCCUGCCGUUCGCGGCGUGGGGCCCCCGGAGCCCUUCAAACCCUGCGUAACUAAGUCGUCGGAGUUUAAACAAAUUAAACAAAACUUUCAACAACGGAUCUCUUGGUUCGGGCAUCGAUGAAGAACGCAGCGAAAUGCGAUAAGUAAUGUGAAUUGCAGAAUUCAGUGAAUCAUCGAAUCUUUGAACGCACAUUGCGCCCCCUGGUAUUCCGGGGGGCAUGCCUGUCCGAGCGUCAUUACACCAAUCGAGCCUGGCUCGGUAUUGGGCGUCGCGGGUCUCGACCCGCGCGCCUUAAAGUCUCACCGGCUGAGCGGCGUCGUCUCUAAGCGUUGUGGAAACUAUUCGCGGAGGGACGGGGCGGCGUGGCCGUUAAAUACCCCAUCAAAGGUUGACCUCGGAUCAGGUAGGGAUACCC